ACUCGAGUGGCGAACGGGUGAGUAACACGUGGGUGAUCUGCCCUGCACUUCGGGAUAAGCCUGGGAAACUGGGUCUAAUACCGGAUAGGAGCCAUUUUUAGUGUGAUGGUUGGAAAGUUUUUCGGUGUAGGAUGAGCUCGCGGCCUAUCAGCUUUUUGGUAGGGUAAUGGCCUACCAAGGCGGCGACGGGUAGCCGGCCUGAGAGGGUGGACGGCCACAUUGGGACUGAGAUACGGCCCAG
RNAcentral lists this ribosomal RNA (241 nucleotides) under uncultured Actinomycetales bacterium. RNAcentral's name for it is "partial 16S ribosomal RNA". It matches the Rfam family "Bacterial small subunit ribosomal RNA", at positions 89 to 334 of the family's 1533-position model. The record is from RNAcentral. Lineage: Bacteria; Bacillati; Actinomycetota; Actinomycetes; Actinomycetales.